UAGAAAUGAUAGCAUUUAGUUUAUGGUUUGAACUGGAUUGAAAUUGACUCAUUAGCUUAAUGGAAAAACUAGUUAAUUGUUAAGGGAUUUUAGAAGUAAUGUUAAUGGGAUGUUGGUGUUAGUUGAUUAUUUUGCUUGACUAAAAAGAAGAUAUUGAUGAUAGUUAGGAUUUUCAUUGUUAAUUAGUUAGAAAUUGAAAUUUCAUUGAACCAAAAUAUUAUAGGUUAAAAGAGGCCAAUUAGGAAGACAGUUAGUGUUGUGCUAUCCUAUUUGAUGACUGAUGUUGGUAUUGCAUUGGUGAAACUUGGCUUGGCGUGGCAUGUCAUCAUGGUGAUGGAGGCAUCAUUAAGGUGUGGCAUGACAUCAAGAACGAGAAGAUAUUUUUGAAGACACUUGAGGCACGAAGAUGGAUGAUCUUGAGGGAAAAGUAGGAAUAGGUGAUCAGUUUGACUUUGGUCAGCUAUCUGACCAAAAGUCAACUUUUUGUCAAAAUGUGAUUUUUUUAGUAAUAUUUGUAACCUUGGAUUUUGUAAUGUAGUUUUGGAUGUUCAAAAUGUGAAUUGGACCUUUGAAUGAAA
Long non-coding RNA from Lathyrus oleraceus (garden pea), 578 nucleotides. RefSeq lists it as uncharacterized. Lineage: Eukaryota; Viridiplantae; Streptophyta; Magnoliopsida; Fabales; Fabaceae. The transcript has 2 exons. The record is from RefSeq and is a predicted model, not a curated record.